AAGAUGGAGACUUUAACAUGGGU
RNAcentral lists this microRNA (23 nucleotides) under Mus musculus (house mouse). RNAcentral describes it as "mmu-miR-1969". Lineage: Eukaryota; Metazoa; Chordata; Mammalia; Rodentia; Muridae. The record is from miRBase by way of RNAcentral.